GGGACACCUCUGGGGCUGAGGACACCUGUCUGGGGACACGUGUCUGGCUCUGGGGACACCGCGGUGACGUCCCUGUGCCAUCCACCCUCUCUCGGCAGGGAGGAGCGAGAGCCUCUCCAGUGAGGAGGUCUGAGGACUGGGAACGGUGACGCAGUGUGCCGACCCCUCCAGCGGCACGAGGAGAUCCUGGAGGAACCCCGGAACCCUGGAAUGAUCAAUAAACCCCUGAAUGAUCUAUUUCCCUGGAAUGAUCAAUAAACCAACGAUCAAUAAACCAUGGAAUGAUCAAUAAACCCCUGAAUGAUCAAUAAACCCUAGAAUGAUCAAUAAACCAUGGAAUGAUCAAUAAACCAAUGAUCAAUAAACCCUGGAAUGAUAAAUAAACCAUGGAAUGAUCAAUAAA
This is a long non-coding RNA of Parus major (Great Tit), 403 nucleotides long. RefSeq lists it as uncharacterized. The transcript has 2 exons. The record is from RefSeq and is a predicted model, not a curated record. Lineage: Eukaryota; Metazoa; Chordata; Aves; Passeriformes; Paridae.